CCUACGGGAGGCUGCAGUGGGGAAUAUUGCACAAUGGGCGCAAGCCUGAUGCAGCCAUGCCGCGUGUGUGAAGAAGGCCUUCGGGUUGUAAAGCACUUUCAGCGGGGAGGAAGGCGUUAAGGUUAAUAACCUUGGCGAUUGACGUUACCCGCAGAAGAAGCACCGGCUAACUCCGUGCCAGCAGCCGCGGUAAUACGGAGGGUGCAAGCGUUAAUCGGAAUUACUGGGCGUAAAGCGCACGCAGGCGGUCUGUCAAGUCGGAUGUGAAAUCCCCGGGCUCAACCUGGGAACUGCAUUCGAAACUGGCAGGCUAGAGUCCUGUAGAGGGGGGUAGAAUUCCAGGUGUAGCGGUGAAAUGCGUAGAGAUCUGGAGGAAUACCGGUGGCGAAGGCGGCCCCCUGGACAAAGACUGACGCUCAGGUGCGAAAGCGUGGGGAGCAAACAGGAUUAGAUACCCGUGUAGUC
Molecule: ribosomal RNA, 465 nt
Filed under: uncultured Klebsiella sp.
Lineage: Bacteria; Pseudomonadati; Pseudomonadota; Gammaproteobacteria; Enterobacterales; Enterobacteriaceae
Description: bacterial SSU rRNA
Rfam family: Bacterial small subunit ribosomal RNA
Source: RNAcentral